CAGCCGCCACGGUAAUACGAAGGGUGCAAGCGUUACUCGGAAUUACUGGGCGUAAAGCGUGCGUAGGUGGUGGUUUAAGUCCGUUGUGAAAGCCCUGGGCUCAACCUGGGAAUUGCAGUGGAUACUGGGUCACUAGAGUGUGGUAGAGGAUAGUGGAAUUUCCGGUGUAGCAGUGAAAUGCGUAGAGAUCGGAAGGAACAUCUGUGGCGAAGGCGACUAUCUGGGCCAACACUGACACUGAGGCACGAAAGCGUGGGGAGCAAACAGGAUUAGAUACCCCUGUAGUCCCUGUCUCUUAUAU
RNAcentral lists this ribosomal RNA (301 nucleotides) under uncultured bacterium. RNAcentral's name for it is "partial 16S ribosomal RNA". It matches the Rfam family "Bacterial small subunit ribosomal RNA", at positions 509 to 809 of the family's 1533-position model. The record is from RNAcentral.